AAUGAAAUUGCAUUCAUAAUAUUCAAUUCAUGUUCACUACGCAAUACAUAUACAAACAAUUGUACUCUUUUGUUCAUCACAAGAUAUCAUUGAUUAAUGCAUUCAUUCAAUACACACACACACACACAAGAUUCAUUAGUUUUCUUCACAACCUCACAAAAGUUAGCUACAACCAUUAAGGAAAUACACAAGUCAGAUAUCCGAUAGGCAUGUUACAAACAGAAUGGCAAAGUUCCUAAGAGAUCAAGUGCUUGAUCACUGCUCUGCUAUAGAAUAUUAUGGAAGACCAACUCAUCAAUCGCCAAGCCGAAUCAAGCUCCAUCUGAACAAAAUGUUUCAUCCAUGUUCUCAACAAAAACAAUCACGAGGACAUCUUCAAUCAACUAGUGGACUUGCUACUUUCUAUCAUUUGUCCCUACAAAAGAACUCAUAUGUUUCAGCAAUCUUAGAAAUAAUACAAUUUCUGCAAAUUCGUGAGUUGCCCUUGAGUCCAAAGGCCCAAGAAACAGAAGGUGUACAACAUACCAGCUUGCUUACAAGAAAAGUAAAUAGAUACUUGACUGCAUGAGCUCUCUAGUAAAAAUUAUGCAUGUCUUUUUCUUUACUAUUAGAUUUGAAACAUAAAACAAACAAAGAGGCCUUUUUAUCUACUAAAUAAAGGAUCUGAAAAAUAAAGCCAGUAAUCUAAAAAAAGACUAUAAUUAUGCAAAGAUUCAAGUUACAAAAAUAACCUUAUUAGAAUAUAUAAAGCAAAGUCAGCAUAGCAGCUAGCAUAUCACAAAUGGCUUACUAUAAAAAUGUCUGAAUUUGUUGAUGAGCAAUCAGGUAUUUUCUAAGACAACAUGAGUAAGGUCUUUACUGUGAUUUCAGAGAUUACAUUCAAAGUUACUGAAUCGGCAAAAAAUCACAGAGAUUGCAGUCAUAUAUGUAGUAGUGCACUUGGUGAAAACAAGUCAAUUUACAGGACAUUGCUUGUGUUCUGGUUCAUGCAUGCUAUGAAACAUUGUGUGGUAUACAAUAGAGGUUUGCAUAUGUUAUUUUUUGUUAUGGUUAAAAUCCUGAAACUAAACAAAUGCUGCAGAAGCUACAACAACUAUGUUUCUCUAAAAAAAAGUAGUCGGGUGUAAUCGUAAUAUGUGGACUGAACUAAAAAUGGUUCCCUAAAAAUAAUGGUCAAGUAUUUUUUUUUUGUGGCUGAUCUUUAAAAGAAAGCACGCUUCAGUUCAGCUAUAACAAAGAUUUAGUAUCACGUUAUCGUGCCCAUUCUGAACCUAUGUCUUCCUGACCCAUCAAACAAAUCAUAGCAGUGUCAUCUCAUGGAAAAAAGUUAACAAGAAUAAUACUCGGGAUCAAUUGAUAUGCAGUCACAUGCAUGGAUGUACUAAAGAAUAACACAUGAUGUGUAUGUCUGACUAACAAUUAGUGUCUCUGCUUGUGCGGUAGGAACUCCAGUUUUACGGAUAUGUGCUCUGAUAAAUAUUUCAUCUCUCCGCGGGUCAUAGCCAAGAUCUUCAGCCUGCAACAAAUUUAUUUUCCCUAGUAAUUAGAAAAACUAACAAAUAUAAUUAAGAAACAUAGUUAUAAAAAUAUAGGAAACAUAGUUAUGAAAAUAUGGAUAGGAGAAGUGGGCAUACAGUACUGAUUUUGUGACUUUGAUUUGUGAAUUGCACGGACCUCUCCACUUGAGCAGACUAAAACAGAAGUUAAAAUCUGAUAUGCCACAAAGAGACUUGAGCAUACAGUAAGUGGAGGCUAUGUUAACAGAUUCGGAAGAUUUCUUGAUUCAAUACUCGAACAUUAAACUUGUGAUCUGUGAGACAAUAAACAAGUAGAAAUAAUGAGCACCUAGAUUAUAAGAAGACUACAUAUUAGGAGUGAAAGAACAAGAUAUCCAGUACAGGAAAACGAAAAGACAUAGACAUGACAUACACAGAAGGCACUACUAUGGACCAUACACAAUCGUAAGGCUAACCCUCAGUGCCUGUUUUGACGGCAUAAACAGAUAAAACAAAAGGAUCACAGGUAGGUUUACAAUCUUCCCCGACAUAUUAGAAAUCUCAAUAUUUGGUGUUAUGUUGAUUUGUCAAAAAUGAAGUAAAACAACAAUUGGGCUAUAACAAGAGGGCUAUGUUCAACUUACUAAUUGACCGUCAGUACAAAUAGGUAUCUCCGAAUAACUAAUACAAUCCCAGCCACUAGUCCAAGGAUUUCAAAUGACAAUUGAAGAAUUGAACAUAUAAGAAGAUCACCUCACGUCGUCAGUAGCAGCCAAUGGUUGUGGUCACAGGAUGGCAUAGCGUACUCCACGCAUCUCCACUGGUAUUGUUCUGUACUGCAGAGGGAGCACCACCUUGACCAACUGAACAAAACUAGUAUGGAAGCAAUAACAAACUCCUGUGCAAACAUCCAUGAGAAAAUUACCUGCUGCCGUGAGGAGAGAAUUCAUAAAUGUCAUGUGCAAAAAGGGUUCAUUAUUUAGACAUUCAAGCUGAGUCAAAAUUGACAGUAGAAAACCAGGUCACCUAUACAAAUUAAAAAGGCAAACAAGCGCACACGUUAAUCUUUCCUAUGUUUAUAGGUUGUUCUACUUUUCUUAUUGAGUAAUGGGUGUGCAUCAAAGCCACUGGGCCUUCAUAGGCUUGAUGUGUGGAUAAUAUAGAUUUGGGUUCAGAAUAGGUGGGCAGGAUUUUGAAUCGCAGGAAAAUCUAGCACGUGAAGCACACUUGCUGGACUUCAGACUAAAACAAAACAAAUCUAUUCAGCAAUUCAAAAAGAAGCUCAUGAAGUGUUUUUUUGAACACCCUAAAAAAUUAAUCAACUAUUGCAGACAAAAACAAGGAGGUAUUAUCACAGUAUAUCAUUGACCUAUAUUUUUUAUACACAUUUACUGCAGACUAUCUUCUUUAUAAGUUUUCUAACUAACAACUAACAGACUGUCUUUCCCUCACAAAAAAGAACAAAUAGACUGUCUUUAUGAACAUUACAUCCAUCCAUUUAUAUAUGUAUAUAUAUAUAUCUGACUCAAAUAUAUUUUUCUCACAUGUGUCGCCAUGGUUCUUCACAUGAACUUCCUUUUCUUUGAGAAAUUAUAGCACGGCAGUUUUUUUUCACAUGAUGCAGUGACCUAGAAGUGAACACACGUACUAAGAAAGUCAUGGAUGCAAUGCAAAAUAUGCUCUACUAACUAAUGGGCAUGCUUCAAGUUAUUUUUCAGAAUCCCUGCGAGUAUUGUCUUUGUGGCGCAAUACAGUACAGCAGAAAAGCACAUGUGUGUGAAGCCACUCAAAAAGAAAAUUAAAAGAUCUGACAAAGACAAGCAAACAUUAUCAGGCAUAUCAUUUACUACCUUUUAUGUCAUGUACUGAUAUACCCCAUACUAUCUGCAGCCUAAUAAUUUUGCGUAUUGUAUUAAUACUCCCUUUUUAGGGGGUCAAUACUAGUUUCCGAGAUGACUUACAGUAGCAAUUCCCAUCCAUCGAGCGACUCAUAUUCAUUGAGAAAACAGAACAACACCACACCAAUAAUGCCAUUUCCUAGACGUGGAACCUCCUG
This 3552-nucleotide long non-coding RNA is filed under the name Triticum aestivum (bread wheat). RNAcentral describes it as "long non-coding RNA (TAES_LNC010864)". The record is from RNAcentral. Lineage: Eukaryota; Viridiplantae; Streptophyta; Magnoliopsida; Poales; Poaceae.